AGACUUUGAUCCUGGCUCAGGAUGAACGCUGGCGGCGUGCCUUAACACAUGCAAGUCGAACGAUGAUGCCAGCUUGCUGGUGGAUUAGUGGCGAACGGGUUAGUAACACGUGAGUAACCUGCCCUUGACUCUGGGAUAAGCCUGCGAAACUGGGUCUAAUACCGGAUAUGACCUUCCAUCGCAUGGUGGUUGGUGCGCAAAGCUUAGUGGCUUCUGGAUGGACUCGCGGCCUAUCAGCUUGUUGGUGGGGUACUGGCCUACCAAGGCGACCACGGGUAGCCGGCCUGAGAGGGUGACCGGACACACUGGGACUGAGACACGGCCCAGACUCCUACGGGAGGCAGCAGUGGGGAAUAUUGCACAAUGGGCGAAAGCCUGAGUGCAGCGACGCCGCGUGAGGGAUGACGGCCUACGGGUUGUACACCUCUUUCAGUAGGGACGAAGCGUAAGUGACGGUACCUGCAGAAGAAGCGCCGGCUAACUACGUGCCAG
Molecule: ribosomal RNA, 492 nt
Filed under: uncultured Actinomycetes bacterium
Lineage: Bacteria; Bacillati; Actinomycetota; Actinomycetes
Description: bacterial SSU rRNA
Rfam family: Bacterial small subunit ribosomal RNA
Source: RNAcentral